RNAcentral lists this ribosomal RNA (424 nucleotides) under uncultured bacterium. Its description in RNAcentral is "partial 16S ribosomal RNA". It matches the Rfam family "Bacterial small subunit ribosomal RNA", at positions 360 to 776 of the family's 1533-position model. The record is from RNAcentral.
AAUAUUGGACUAUGGGGGCAACCCUGAUCCAGCCAUGCCGCGUGUGUGAAGAAGGUCUUCGGAUUUUCCCGCCCUUUAAGUUGGGAGGCAGGGUUGUAGGUUAAUACCCUGAAAUUUGGAUGUUAACAACAGAAUAAGCACCGGCUCACUUCGUCCCUGCAGCCGCGGUAAUACGAAGGGUGCAAGCGUUAAUCGGAAUUACUGGGCGUAAAGCGCGCGUAGGUGGUUCGUUAAGUUGGAAGUGAAAGCCCCGGGCUUAACCUGGGAAUUGCUUUCAAAACUGACGAGCUAGAGUACGGUAGAGGGGAGUGGAAUUUCCUGUGGAGCGGUGAAAUGCGUAGAUAUAGGAAGGAACAUCAGUGGCGAAGGCGACUACCUGGACUGAUACUGACACUGAGGUGCGAAAGCGUGGGGAGCAAACAGG